RNAcentral lists this long non-coding RNA (1094 nucleotides) under Homo sapiens (human). Its description in RNAcentral is "HSALNT0137443". Lineage: Eukaryota; Metazoa; Chordata; Mammalia; Primates; Hominidae. The record is from RNAcentral.
AUUUUAAUAUUUCUAAAAAUGUUAAUUUUAACUAUGGUGUAAUUUUUAGACUUACGAAAGGAUCCCCAUGCUCUUGAUCACACCUCAGUAUAAAUUCAGUACCAGUAAUCUUUUUAAAAAAGACUUUAAUCUUUAGAAGUUUAGAUUUAUCGAAAAGUUAAGAAGAUAGUCCCAAGAGUUCCCAUAUACCCAUCACUCAGUUUCUUUUCUUAUCAAUAUAUUAAUAUGGCAAUUUGUAACUAUUAAUGAAUCAAUAUUGAUACACUACUAUGAUUAAAGUCCAUUGUUUAUUCAGAUAGUCUUUACUUAAUGUCCUUUUUCUGUUCUAACAUCCCAUGUAGGAUCCCACACUCGACUUAGUCAUUUUGACCCCUUAGGCUCUCCUUGGCAGUGAGUUUCAGACUCCUGUUUAUUGAUGACCUUGACAGUACGAUUGUGUCUCAGGCAGGUUUUGUGGGAGGCCCUUCAUUUGGAAUUUGCUGAGAAAACUUCUUUGCUCUCACUUCUCAUUUACCUCAGUUACGUUUCACAGCAAUUGCAAAUCUUUGACGUAUAUACUUAGGCUCUGAGAAGGAUCCCAUCACCCUCAAGCUUGCACUGUAUGUCAUCCAUGAGUGGCAGGAGAUGUUUUUCCUUACCUAGAAGUGAACAGUGCUACGUGUAACUAUCUCCUUCUGAGUGAGAAAGGCCAGCACUCACUCUACACUGGGUGCCAAUCUGCACCAAAUGCUGUUGCCUUUAUUAUAGGUUUAAUAGCUCCACCCAACAGGCUCUGCUGGAAACCUGUUUAAGACCCACAAUAGAUUUCAUUUUUAAUCUUCUCAGAAAACGUAGUCAGCUCUGUCCUUGCUCUUAAGGGUCAUUCAAAAGGGCUAGAUGAUAAAGGUACCGCUCCUGCCAUGAACACCUGGCCCCACAAUAGGCUGUCUGAAAGCUGAGAGCAAGGAGAACCAGUCCGAAUCCCCAAACUGAAGAACCUGGAGUCCCAUAUUCGAUGGCAGGAAGCGUCCAGCAUGGGAGAAAGAUGCAGGCUGGGAAGCUAGACCCAUCUCUCCCUUUCACGCUUUUUUGCCUGCUUUAUAUUCGCUGGAAGC